This is a long non-coding RNA of Triticum dicoccoides, 1654 nucleotides long. RefSeq lists it as uncharacterized. NCBI's taxonomy places the organism in Eukaryota, Viridiplantae, Streptophyta, Magnoliopsida, Poales, Poaceae. The record is from RefSeq and is a predicted model, not a curated record. The transcript has 14 exons.
UCCACCAUUUGGUAACUGAUGGCAAUGCAGCAGCUGUGUGGUUCCCACUUUAUGCGGCAGCUGUUCUUCUACCGAUCUGUUGCUCGGUGAUCAAUUGUGUGUGGUUGGUUAAUUUACUAGCCGCAUGGAUUGGGGAUAUGUACUUCGGUUUGGGUUCAUCAAAAGGGGCAAUUGUUGAGCAUUUGUAUCAACUAUCGAGGAUCUCAAGUUCACAUGGAUCACACUAUGAUCAAGUGCAUUCUGGUGCUGUGAUGAUUGUGACGGAAAAUGUUAGCAGCAGAAGCAAUCGCUACGUUCGUGAACUGAAAAAAUGGUGGCUCCAUGCGGGAUUUUGACCUCCAUACGAAAUCUGCAAGGGUAACAACAACAAAGGAAACUGGUGUAAGAUUGAGUAGUAAGACUCAAAGAUGAGCUACCAUCAAGAUUAUGUCUCGACAAUCAAGUAUAGUGAUUAUUUUUACCGAACUCAUAGAAGUAGAUUGUGUAUCCCAUCCAACGUUCAACCUAAUGGACAUUGAGGGAACCACUUUGAGUAGGCAAUUGUUUGUGUGGAGGAAAAUGCAUGGUACUAAAGCUAACCUUCCUCUGGUCCAGAUGAAAUCAAGGCAACUGGGUCUUCUAUCUUCAAACAUCGAUUUGUUUAAUUUAAGCCCAGACCAUGCUGGCAGUGAGUCAGAAUCACCCUGCUUUGUGCUGUCCUAAUUCAAGUUGCGCCGCCACAAAAUGCUUCUAAUUUAACUGCUGUAAGCGCAGCAAUAGGAGCAGCGCAGGUGGCCACUGCAGCUAAGCUCCACAUGGAACGUAUGCCCUGUUGCACCCUCGCAGGUCAUUAUCAUCUCAUCUCACCACACUCAUGCCACAUAACCUGAUAAUUGAUGAAAAAACUUUGAUAAAGAAAUACCGGCGCCGUCUCAUCGUCUUCAUCGACAUGAGCAUCUCUGUCGGUCCACGCGUCCAUGCCUCCCCAUCUACCACACUGGAGUGGCCGCCUCCUGGUUGAGGUAUCGCGCCGCCACCGCUGCCCGGGUCCAUCCUCCCCUCCUGCCGAGGCUGAGGUGAUCACCAUGAGGAUGAGGAGGUCAGUGGCUGAUAUAGAGAGCUCCUCGAACGAGGAAGUAGCAGUUCUGGAGCAACUCGAAGAUGUCAUUUUUCAGUUUUGAUGGGAAUCGCUACAACAACAAUUAGAAGAGACUGCAUUGCACGUUCAGAACCAAUUUCUUGGGGAUUAUGGCAAGGAGCAGUGGUCGUUUGGGUUCUUGGGGAACGACAUUUACAGUUCAGUAGGAAAUUUCAAGCAUGGACCAAGGAAACAAGAUGCUGAUGGAGUGUCAUGUAUUGCUGCCACCUGAUUUUCUGUUAUUGGACAAAGUUCUGUACUGAUAGUCCAAAACUUUGUGGUCGCGCAGGCUAUUCAGCCUUUAAUCAUAUUUAACAUCAUCAGGGUCUCUGGACAAACAAGCUCGAGGAGGCCAUUGUUUGGUCCGGCCCACGACGACAACCACACCAUUGACCACUGAAGCAAGGUCCUUAUAUGGUCACUGAAGAAAUCAUAUUUUCUUCCGACAGAAGGGCACUUUUCUUGAAUCUUUGUCAGUGUCUGUUGUAAUUUACUAUCAUCCCUAAGACAAAGUUGAUUCUGUGUUGCCGUUCUUUA